GUUUUGCAGUCCUGUGAGUUGGCUCCCUACAUCUAUAGCGUUUGGGGCGAAAAUGGACUGCAGACAUUAGGCGAAGGAAGCGAAGGCGUGGCCGCCGGAGGGCGCGCGGCUUCACGUGCGAUGUUCCUUCUACAUUCCUCCUCGUGCCCUGCUUCCGCGGCGGUGACGGCUAAGUCGGUUUCGUCCCCUAUCUGAAAGCAGGCAGAGCAUAUCUAAGCAGCUAGAUAUUGCUUGUUUGGACGAGUCCCAUGACAAGCACUUAAAGCUGCUACAGUU
Molecule: non-coding RNA, 276 nt
Organism: Brienomyrus brachyistius
Lineage: Eukaryota; Metazoa; Chordata; Actinopteri; Osteoglossiformes; Mormyridae
Source: RefSeq, a predicted model, not a curated record